Long non-coding RNA from Syngnathus typhle (broad-nosed pipefish), 1679 nucleotides. RefSeq lists it as uncharacterized. Lineage: Eukaryota; Metazoa; Chordata; Actinopteri; Syngnathiformes; Syngnathidae. The record is from RefSeq and is a predicted model, not a curated record. The transcript has 5 exons.
CCACCAUGUUCACCAGCUUGUCGCUAACUUUGUCUGUUUGCCAUUUGGUGCUGCUGAGGCAAACUCCAACUGCUUCAGAAAACUAACUGUGACCUGAGACCUGGGAAGCGCAGACUACUUCCUCUCCACGAAUGAUCAGACUGGAGGCUCCACGUCGGCUGCUGGUCGUCCAUCUAUCUGCAUAUCUCGAAAGAGUCAACAAAGUAACAAGUGGAAUGGCGGUCGGCCGGUGGGACGAGUGGUCGGCCGGUGGGACGAGUGGUCGGCCGGUGGGACGAGUGGUCGGCCGGUGGGACGAGUGGUCGGCCGGUGGGACGAGUGGUCGGCCGGUGGGACGAGUGGUCGGCCGGUGGGACGAGUGGUCGGCCGGUGGGACGAGUGGUCGGCCGGUGGGACGAGUGGUCGGCCGGUGGGACGAGUGGUCGGCCGGUGGGACGAGUGGUCGGCCGGUGGGACGAGUGGUCGGCCGGUGGGACACAUGUCACUCCAUGCAUGGACCUAUGACAAAACAGAUUGGUAAGUAAAAAGUUAAGUCAAUUGUGCCGAAAAUGUUUUUGCAUGAAGCAUACCAGUGCGCAAAUAGAGGUUUUCAUGGCAUCAGGUAUUAAUGUAUUGACCAGGAAGCUGAUUUAGUUCCUUCCUGCCAGAAAAUAGGAGAAAAAAAUUAUUGAAAUAGAGAUAAAUGUGCAAUGAGUUGCAUUUAAAGUGACUCACUUCUCAGGUUGCAACAAGAAGACUAAAGUGUUGCUGGUGUGCAGCUUUGCUCUAGUCCUCGGCUGCCGCUACAAGCAGCAGAGGGCUCUUCAGGCAGAAUAGACCUAGGUGAAAGAGCUCAGAGGCUGAAGACAAACUGUGGCAAAGAGUUUCACUUUCUGGACCAGGAUUUGCAACUUUUGCCUGUAAAGAAAAAAGAACAUAGACAACUACUCCAACUGUAGUUUACUGCUUUUAUUUUUACCUGUAGACUGGAAGCAGCUGGUCGCUGGUGCACAGGCAGAGUUCUUGAAAUGUUGUAAAAUUUCUCCAGGAUGGACACCUGCACACACACACACGUGGCCCCUCAAGUUGCCAUUUAGUAAGAUUUAUUUGUACGUUAACUCUGAAAAUAGAGGCAGUCUUGAGGAACUUCUGCAUGGUUUUGAGAGCUGUUACCUUUGGUCAGCAGGUGGCGGACUUUCCAACUGCAUCCUUACUGGAAUGUGCACUGCAGGAAGAGGGAGGCAACAGGCAUGUGCUUUUAAACAAUACCAAGUUUGUAAUAAGUGGUCACCUGUCAGCAUGUUGAUGAUUCCACAGGUUCAAAACCUUGCAGAUCCACGCUGCAGAAAGUAGGUCCUUUGGCUCUACCUGGUGGACAAAAUGAGUGAGAACAUGCUGAAAUGUUUGACAUGUGUCAAACGUUUGGACGCGUGCGUGUUUCACCAGUGACGAAGGGAGGGCAGUGCGGGACGUCUCUCCUACCACAGCUCGAUGGUCUGAAAGAAAUGGUAACGUUACUACCAUUCUGUUUUCACAUUUUCAGCCUAAGAAAAUUGAGCAAGAGUAAACCUGCAAGUGUCUCAUGAAGCCAUGCGGGAACUGCAACACGGCCAUUUUGGACCCUGCAGACAUAGAAAAAGACCAAAUGUUUGCUUUAAUCAAUUUGACAAGAUGCCUUGCUAAUAAAAAUAUUUUUGCCA